UUGAAAGUUUGUAAUUAUGUUUAGAACAUAAUGGUUGGUUGACAAAAAUAGUCCAUCAACAUGGACUUAUGAUAAUUUUGAAUCAUUGAGUGUUGAAGUGUUAAACCACUUCUAGAGACGGAAACUAGGCAAGGACUUCACCUUUGUGUCCCUAUCCAAAUGGUUCACUAAGUUUAUUGUAAACUAUAUAGUGAACGUGAAUCAAAUGUAGAUCUCUGCGAAAGCACUUCGGAACGUGAAUCAAAUGUACAUCUCUGCGAAAGCAGAUCGUACUUACUUCCUCAUAUGAACUAUCAAAGAAAUUGGAAAAACCAAAGAUUGUCUUUACAUUCCAAUUUUAAGGAACUUAAUUCCGUCACUAUGAGAGAUGGAUGAAUGUUUUGUUUGACAAAACAUUGUUCUUUAUUAAUGAAUGAUUAGAUUAUUGUAAUCUAAUUGAUUAUCUCUAUAGUAGAGAUGAUAUGGUAGUGUUAACUGUUUAGAAUAUAACGAUGCUUAAAACCCAAAAGGUUGCAAGGUAGUGACUAAUCCUAACUGAGUUGUGAUACCUCUAAAACAUAAAUUACGAGUUGGUCAUAAAUGAAUACUUUGGAUCAUUAGAUUCGGAUCCAAUGCCUUCUUGUUAAAAUUGUAUAGAGGCAAAAUGUUUGAAUCUUUAUUCUUUUGGAAAGGAAGAAAGAAUCACAAAGUUGUUGAGGUUAAUUCACUUAGAUGUUAAUGGCACUUGUCCACAACAUAAUACUACUCAUGUUGUAUGACAUUCACCGAAGAUCACCCUCGGUUGGACUAUCAUUUAUUUUGAAUAAACACAAGUCCGAAUACUUUGCAAAAGGUUUCAAAGAAUUCA
Molecule: long non-coding RNA, 847 nt
Filed under: Malus domestica (apple)
Lineage: Eukaryota; Viridiplantae; Streptophyta; Magnoliopsida; Rosales; Rosaceae
Description: long non-coding RNA (MDOM_LNC018647)
Source: RNAcentral